RNAcentral lists this long non-coding RNA (961 nucleotides) under Micromonas pusilla. RNAcentral's name for it is "long non-coding RNA (MPUS_LNC000134)". The record is from RNAcentral. Lineage: Eukaryota; Viridiplantae; Chlorophyta; Mamiellophyceae; Mamiellales; Mamiellaceae.
CGAGACGCGCGACGAUCGUCGAUCGCGACCGUUGACGAGGAGCUGCGCGCGGACGGAUCGGAGCGCGCCCUUGACGGGCGUGGUGCUGUGCACGAUGCGCUGCUUCGGCCACAGAUCGGUGGCGUCCAUCCCCGCGGCGUACGGCUUGGGGACGGAGUCGAAGCUCGCGGACCACUCCGACGUGUGCGUGAGGCGAGGCACCUUUUCCUGUUGCUGUUGAACGCGACGGCUUCCUCCUCCUCCUCGCGACGAUCCUCCUCCUCCUCGCGACGAUCCUCCUCCUCUCUCGCCGUCCCUCGAUUGGCGCUGCUUGCCGCCGCCGCGCACGCCGCCGCCGCCGCCGCGGCCGCCGCCCCCGGGCGUCGCCGCGUCCGCGUCGCGCGACGCGCGACGCGCGUCGAUCUUCGCUUGGAGGCUGGAGGGCUGCUGCCGUUGGGACUUAUCGCCGCCGCCUCCUCCCCCUCCUCCCCAUCGCGGACCGCUUCCGCCGCCCUCGCCGCCGCCGCCCGCGCCGCCGCCGCCGCCGCCCGCCGCGCCGUCCGCGCCCGCGGCGAAUCCGCGCGACGACGCGAACGCCGACGCGCGCCGGCGCGACGACGACGACGACGACGACGACGAUAUCUGAUGCGGCGACGCGGAGGAGAGAUCGCCCCGCGUCGUCGCGGUCGCGAACGCGCGCCUCGCGGCGUCGCGCGCGACGAGCGCGCGCGCCUCCGCGACGUCCCCGCGAACGUAUCGAAGCGCCGCGAUCGUCGAAGAAGACAACGCGUCCGCCGCGCGUCGACGCAUGAUCCUCGCUCGCCGCCGCCCCGCGCGCGCCCGGACGAAUGACGAUCAAUCCGUGCCCUAACGCGCGCUUCAAAGCAACCGACCGCGGAAGGGACGACAACAACUCGCGUUUUCUUUUCGGCGCGACGCUGAAGCCGCGCGGGCGUCGGACGCGCGCGGUCUACGCACGUGU